This 1279-nucleotide long non-coding RNA is filed under the name Equus caballus (horse). RNAcentral's name for it is "lncRNA (ENSECAG00000056815.1)". Lineage: Eukaryota; Metazoa; Chordata; Mammalia; Perissodactyla; Equidae. The record is from RNAcentral.
GUUUUGCGUGUGGCUCACCUGAGGUUCAAGUGUGGUUCAAGCUUUGAACAUGGGUGCUUCCCAUGUCGUCCAGAUGUGGUUGAAGGAUGCCUCACAUGUGCUCAAUCACGGUUUAGUUGUGGCUCACAUAUGGUUCAGAUGUAAUUCAGGCAUGGCUCACACAUGAGUUGUGUGGGUCACAAAUGCUACAGGAGCCUUUCACACAUGAUUUAGGCAUGGCUCACACAUGGUUCAGGUGCAGAUUAGCCAAGGCACACACAUGAUGCAGGCACGCCACAGAACUGGGUCAUGUGUGACUGACACAUGAUUCAGGCGUUUGUCAUGCAUGGCUCACACAUGGCUGAGGUGUGGCUCAUGCAUGGCUGUGGUGCUGCUCAGGCGUGGCUCACACUUGUUUGUGGCAUGGUUGGCAUGUGGUUCAGGCAUUGCAGGCAGCUGGCUCCAGAGUGGCUGACACGUGCUUCAAGUGAGGCGGACGUGUGUUUGAAUUGGGACUGGCACAUGGUUCAGUCGUGGCUGGCAUGUGACUUCGGCAUGGUUGAGAUGAGACUCAGACGUGGCUCACACAUUUUUCAGGCAUGACUGACACAUGACUCAGGUGAGGCAGCCACAUGACACAGGCGUGCCUGUCACAUCACCCAGCAGUGGCUCACACCUGCUUCAUGCACGUCCUUCAUGAGUCUCAGGGGUGGCUCUUGUGUGGUUUACGCAUGGGUGCCACGUGUUUCAGGUGUGGCUGGCACAUGACGCAGGUAUGGCUGAUACAUGACUCAGGCGUUCUUCGCACAUUAUCAGUGCCUGGCUGACCUGUGCUUCAUACAUGGGUUACAUGUCAUUAAUUUGUGGCACACAUGUGACUCACUCUCUGCUGGCAAAUGGCUCCCACGUACUCAGACGUGCCUGGCACAUGGCUCACGCAUGACCCGGCCAUUUUUCAAGAGUGGCUCCCUUGUGCUUCACGUGUCAUUCAGGAAUUGAAGAUGCAUGCUUCACAUGGGUAUCUCUUGUGGUUCUAGUGUGUCUCAUGUGGUUCAGUCAUGGUUCAGGUGUGGCUCCCAAAUGGUUCAGAUGUAACCCAGGUGUGGCUAACACAUGGCUCAUGGUGUGUCCCAUAUGGUUGAGGAGUGUUUCAGUCAUUAUUCAGGCAUGGCUCACACGUGGUGCAGGCAUGGCUCAGCCAUGGCUCACAUGGAGUUCAGGCGAGCCUCAGACCAGGGCCAGGUGUGGCUGACACAUGAUUCAGGAGUUUGUCACACAUGGCUAACACACGUCUCAGGGG